This 69-nucleotide transfer RNA is filed under the name Hippotragus niger variani. RNAcentral describes it as "tRNA-Met". It matches the Rfam family "tRNA". From Rfam's summary of the family: Transfer RNA (tRNA) molecules are approximately 80 nucleotides in length. Their secondary structure includes four short double-helical elements and three loops (D, anti-codon, and T loops). Further hydrogen bonds mediate the characteristic L-shaped molecular structure. tRNAs have two regions of fundamental functional importance: the anti-codon, which is responsible for specific mRNA codon recognition, and the 3' end, to which the tRNAs corresponding amino acid is attached (by aminoacyl-tRNA synthetases). tRNAs cope with the degeneracy of the genetic code in two manners: having more than one tRNA (with a specific anti-codon) for a particular amino acid; and 'wobble' base-pairing, i.e. permitting non-standard base-pairing at the 3rd anti-codon position. Lineage: Eukaryota; Metazoa; Chordata; Mammalia; Artiodactyla; Bovidae. The record is from RNAcentral.
NGUAAGGUCAGCUAAUUAAGCUAUCGGGCCCAUACCCCGAAAAUGUUGGUUCAUAUCCUUCCCAUNCUA